Long non-coding RNA from Protopterus annectens (West African lungfish), 206 nucleotides. RefSeq lists it as uncharacterized. Lineage: Eukaryota; Metazoa; Chordata; Ceratodontiformes; Protopteridae. The transcript is spliced from 3 exons. The record is from RefSeq and is a predicted model, not a curated record.
ACUGAAUCUGGGGGCCCUAGUCCUUGUGAUCGAGGCUCAGCCCGCGGACGGUGUGAGGCCGGUGGCGGCCCCCGGCGCGUCGGGAUCAGGUCUUCCCGGAGUCAGGUUGUUUGUGAAUGCAGCCCAAAGCGGGUGGUAAACUCCAUCUAAGGCUAAAUACCGGCACGAGACCGAUAGCGGACAAGUACCAUAAGGGAAAGUUGAAA